AGUUCUCGGGGAGGAGUUCCUGACCAUGGAAAUACAGAACAAUUAAAUGGCCACAGGAGUUGGCACCAAAUGAAUUGUCUUAGAUAACUGGAGCCUGUACCAUUGGCCCCGCACAGGAAGCUGGUGGCUAUCAGAACCUCACAGUAGGUUAUUCCUGCUCCUGCCCUCAUGUAUUAUCUGGAGUGUGGGGCUGUCAGCAGAAAGUUCUGUGAGAUAUGCUGAACUACAAUCUGUAUUGUAAGAAGACUCUCUGGGAAUUUAUAUGGAUUUAUAGCAAGUUUGGGAAGCCCUGGAUUCUAUUGAGAAGCCUUGGUACUAUUUUCCAAGAUUAGUUAACUAGCCUAGUCACCAGGCAUAUGGCUCUUAAGAAACAAAGACCCUUCAUGUGUCUUCUUCAGCCCACCCUCUACUUUUAUAAGUGUUCUACUUAGCUGUAGUGAAAGACACUCACUGACUUGAUAUAUUUGUUCCUCCGAUACUAAAAGUAUAAUGUAAAUAAUGUAAACUAGCAAUCUUAUGGGGGAAAAGA
Molecule: long non-coding RNA, 529 nt
Organism: Mus pahari (shrew mouse)
Lineage: Eukaryota; Metazoa; Chordata; Mammalia; Rodentia; Muridae
Exons: 2
Source: RefSeq, a predicted model, not a curated record